Molecule: transfer RNA, 74 nt
Filed under: Melioribacteraceae bacterium
Lineage: Bacteria; Pseudomonadati; Ignavibacteriota; Ignavibacteria; Ignavibacteriales; Melioribacteraceae
Description: tRNA-Ile
Rfam family: tRNA
About the family: Transfer RNA (tRNA) molecules are approximately 80 nucleotides in length. Their secondary structure includes four short double-helical elements and three loops (D, anti-codon, and T loops).
Source: RNAcentral
GGGCCUGUAGCUCAGUCGGUUAGAGCAUCUGACUCAUAAUCAGAGGGUCCGCGGUUCGAGUCCGUGCAGGCCCA